CCUACGGGGGGCAGCAGUGGGGAAUAUUGGGCAAUGGGCGAAAGCCUGACCCAGCGACGCCGCGUGGGCGAUGAAGGCCUUCGGGUCGUAAAGCCCUGUCAUGCGGAAAGAAAAGUCCCGCGAUUAAUACUCGCGGGAUGUGACGGUACCGCAGAAGGAAGCACCGGCUAACUCCGUGCCAGCAGCCGCGGUAAUACGGAGGGUGCAAGCGUUGUUCGGAAUUACUGGGCGUAAAGGGCGCGUAGGCGGUAAUAUAAGUCAAAUGUGAAAUCCUCCAGCUUAACUGGAGAACAGCAUCUGAAACUGUGUAACUAGAGUACAGGAGAGGGAAACGGAAUUCCCGGUGUAGAGGUGAAAUUCGUAGAUAUCGGGAGGAACACCAGUGGCGAAGGCGGUUUCCUGGCCUGAUACUGACGCUGAGGCGCGAAAGCGUGGGGAGCAAACAGGAUUAGAUACCCGAGUAGUC
This 466-nucleotide ribosomal RNA is filed under the name uncultured Syntrophorhabdus sp. RNAcentral describes it as "bacterial SSU rRNA". It matches the Rfam family "Bacterial small subunit ribosomal RNA", at positions 338 to 795 of the family's 1533-position model. The record is from RNAcentral. Lineage: Bacteria; Pseudomonadati; Thermodesulfobacteriota; Syntrophorhabdia; Syntrophorhabdales; Syntrophorhabdaceae.